ACGCUGGCGGCGUGCCUAAUACAUGCAAGUAGAACGCACAGGAUGCACCGUAGUUUACUACACCGUAUUCUGUGAGUUGCGAACGGGUGAGUAACGCGUAGGUAACCUGCCUGGUAGCGGGGGAUAACUAUUGGAAACGAUAGCUAAUACCGCAUAAGAACAUUUACUGCAUGGUAGAUGUUUAAAAGGUGCAAAUGCAUCACUACCAGAUGGACCUGCGUUGUAUUAGCUAGUAGGUGAGGUAACGGCUCACCUAGGCGACGAUACAUAGCCGACCUGAGAGGGUGAUCGGCCACACUGGGACUGAGACACGGCCCAGACUCCUACGGGAGGCAGCAGUAGGGAAUCUUCGGCAAUGGGGGGAACCCUGACCGAGCAACGCCGCGUGAGUGAAGAAGGUUUUCGGAUCGUAAAGCUCUGUUGUUAAGGAAGAACGAGUGUGAGGAUGGAAAGUUCAUACUGUGACGGUACUUAACCAGAAAGGGACGGCUAACUACGUGCCAGCAGCCGCGGUAAUACGUAGGUCCCGAGCGUUGUCCGGAUUUAUUGGGCGUAAAGCGAGCGCAGGCGGUUAGAUAAGUCUGAAGUUAAAGGCAGUGGCUCAACCAUUGUAGGCUUUGGAAACUGUUUAACUUGAGAGCAGAAGGGGAGAGUGGAAUUCCAUGUGUAGCGGUGAAAUGCGUAGAUAUAUGGAGGAACACCGGUGGCGAAAGCGGCUCUCUGGUCUGUAACUGACGCUGAGGCUCGAAAGCGUGGGGAGCGAACAGGAUUAGAUACCCUGGUAGUCCACGCCGUAAACGAUGAGUGCUAGGUGUUGGGUCCUUUCCGGGACUCAGUGCCGCAGCUAACGCAUUAAGCACUCCGCCUGGGGAGUACGACCGCAAGGUUGAAACUCAAAGGAAUUGACGGGGGCCCGCAC
Molecule: ribosomal RNA, 919 nt
Filed under: uncultured bacterium
Lineage: Bacteria
Description: bacterial SSU rRNA
Rfam family: Bacterial small subunit ribosomal RNA
Source: RNAcentral